Molecule: ribosomal RNA, 497 nt
Filed under: uncultured bacterium
Lineage: Bacteria
Description: partial 16S ribosomal RNA
Rfam family: Bacterial small subunit ribosomal RNA
Source: RNAcentral
GAUGAACGCUGGCGGCGUGCCUAAUACAUGCAAGUCGAGCGAACGGACGAGAAGCUUGCUCCUCCGAUGUUAGCGGCGGACGGGUGAGUAACACGUGGAUAACCUACCUAUAAGACUGGGAUAACUUCGGGAAACCGGAGCUAAUACCGGAUAAUAUUUUGAACCGCAUGGUUCAAAAGUUAAAGACGGUCUUGCUGUCACUUAUAGAUGGAUCCGCGCUGCAUUAGCUAGUUGGUAAGGUAACGGCUUACCAAGGCAACGAUGCAUAGCCGACCUGAGAGGGUGAUCGGCCACACUGGAACUGAGGCACGGUCCAGACUCCUACGGGAGGCAGCAGUAGGGAAUCUUCCGCGAUGGGCGAGAGCCUGACGGAGCAACGCCGCGUGAGUGAUGAAGGUCUUCGGAUCGUAAAACUCUGUUAUUAGGGAAGAACAUAUGUGUAUGUAACUGUGCACAUCUUGACGGUACCUAAUCAGAAAGCCACGGCUAACUACGUG